UGGGGAAUUUUGCGCAAUGGGCGAAAGCCUGACGCAGCAACGCCGCGUGCGGGAUGAAGGCUCUCGGGUCGUAAACCGCUUUCAGCAGGGAUGAAAUUGACAGUACCUGCAGAAGAAGCCCCGGCUAAAUACGUGCCAGCAGCCGCGGUAAUACGUAUGGGGCAAGCGUUAUCCGGAUUCAUUGGGCGUAAAGAGCGCGUAGGCGGCUUGUUAAGUUAGAUGUGAAAUCCGGGGGCUUAACCCGCGGUCUGCAUCUAAAACUGGCAGGCUUGAGUCUGGUAGAGGAAAGUGGAAUUCCCAGUGUAGCGGUGAAAUGCGCAGAUAUUGGGAGGAACACCAGUGGCGAAGGCGGCUUUCUGGGCCACGACUGACGCUGAGGCGCGAAAGCUAGGGGAGCAAACA
RNAcentral lists this ribosomal RNA (402 nucleotides) under uncultured bacterium. Its description in RNAcentral is "partial 16S ribosomal RNA". It matches the Rfam family "Bacterial small subunit ribosomal RNA", at positions 355 to 774 of the family's 1533-position model. RNAcentral also lists the same sequence under 1 other name. The record is from RNAcentral.